ACUUAAGCAUAUCAAUAAGCGGAGGAAAAGAAACCAACAGGGAUUGCCUCAGUAACGGCGAGUGAAGCGGCAACAGCUCAAAUUUGAAAUCUGGCCCUAGGCCCGAGUUGUAAUUUGCAGAGGAUGUUUCUGGCGAGGUGCCUUNCCGAGUUCCCUGGAACGGGACGCCAUAGAGGGUGAGAGCCCCGUACGGUUGGUCGCUAAGCCUCUGUGAAACUCCUUCGACGAGUCGAGUAGUUUGGGAAUGCUGCUCUAAAUGGGAGGUAUACGUCUUCUAAAGCUAAAUACCGGCCAGAGACCGAUAGCGCACAAGUAGAGUGAUCGAAAGAUGAAAAGCACUUUGAAAAGAGGGUUAAAUAGUACGUGAAAUUGUUGAAAGGGAAGCGCUUAUGACCAGACUUGGACCGGUUGAUCAUCCAUCGUUCUCGGUGGUGCACUCUGCCGGUUCAGGCCAGCAUCAGUUUGUCCCGGGGGAUAAAGGCUUUGGGAAUGUGGCUCUUCGGAGUGUUAUAGCCCAUUGCGUAAUACCCUGGGAUAGACUGAGGUUCGCGCUCCGCAAGGAUGCUGGCGUAAUGGUCAUCAGUGACCCGUCUUGAAACACGGACCAAGGAGUCGUCUUCGUAUGCGAGUGUUCGGGUGUCAAACCCCUACGCGUAAUGAAAGUGAACGUAGGAGAGAGCUUCGGCGCAUCUCCGACCGAUCCUGAUGUUCUCGGAUGGAUUUGAGUAAGAGCAUACGGGGCCGGACCCGAAAGAAGGUGAACUAUGCUUGUAUAGGGUGAAGCCAGAGGAAACUCUGGUGGAGGCUCGCAGCGGUUCUGACGUGCAAAUCGAUCGUCAAAUAUGAGCAUGGGGGCGAAAGACUAAUCGAACCUUCUAGUAGCUGGUUUCCGCCGAAGUUUCCCUCAGGAUAGCAGUGUUGAACUCAGUUUUAUGAGGUAAAGCGAAUGAUUAGGGACCCGGGGGCGCUAUAUUGCCUUCAUCCAUUCUCAAACUUUAAAUAUGUAAGAAGCUCUUGUUGCUUAAUUGAACGUGGGCAUUCGAAUGUAUCAACACUAGUGGGCCAUUUUUGGUAAGCAGAACUGGCGAUGCGGGAUGAACCGAACGCGAGGUUAAGGUGCCAGAGUGGACGCUCAUCAGACACCACAAAAGGUGUUAGUACAUCUUGACAGCAGGACGGUGGCCAUGGAAGUCGGAAUCCGCUAAGGACUGUGUAACAACUCACCUGCCGAAUGUACUAGCCCUGAAAAUGGAUGGCGCUCAAGCGUCUCACCCAUACCUCGCCUCAGGGUAGAAACCAUGCCCUGAGGAGUAGGCGGACGUGGAGGUCGUG
RNAcentral lists this ribosomal RNA (1332 nucleotides) under Verruciconidia persicina. Its description in RNAcentral is "eukaryotic LSU rRNA". It matches the Rfam family "Eukaryotic large subunit ribosomal RNA", at positions 32 to 1402 of the family's 3401-position model. The record is from RNAcentral. Lineage: Eukaryota; Fungi; Ascomycota; Sordariomycetes; Hypocreales; Bionectriaceae.